Molecule: long non-coding RNA, 732 nt
Organism: Oncorhynchus tshawytscha (Chinook salmon)
Lineage: Eukaryota; Metazoa; Chordata; Actinopteri; Salmoniformes; Salmonidae
Source: Ensembl
UCGAUAUGCUCUCAAUGGUGCAGCUGUAGAACUUUUGAGGAUCUGAGGGCCCAUGCCAAACAUUUCAGCCUCCUGAGGGGGAAGAGGCAUUGUUGUGUCCUCUUCAUGACGGGGGAAGAGGCGUUGUCGUGCCCUCUUCAUGACUGGGGAAGAGGCGUUGUCGUGCCCUCUUCAUGACUGGGGAAGAGGCGUUGUCGUGCCCUCUUCAUGACUGGGGGAAGAGGCGUUGUCGUGCCCUCUUCAUGACGGGGGAAGAGGCGUUGUUGUGCCCUCUUCAUGACGGGGGAAGAGGCGUUGUUGUGCCCUCUUCAUGACGGUUGGUGUGUGUGGACCACGAUCCUUAGUGAUGUGGACACAGAGGAACUUGCAGCUCUCGACCUGCACCCCUGCAGCCCCGUCCAUGUGGAUGGGGGCGUGCUCGGCCCUCCAUUUCCUGUAGUCCACAAUCAGCUCCUUUGUCUUGCUGACCUUGAGGGAGAGGUUGUUGUCCUGGCACCACACUGCCAGGGGUCUGACCUCCUCCCUAUAGGCUGUCUCAUCGUUGUCGUCGAUCAGGCCUACCAUCGUCGUUCCAUUUGCAAACAUAACGAUGAUGUUGGGAGUCGUGAGAGGCCAUACAUUCGUGGGUGAACAGGGAGUACAGGAGGGGACUAAGCACGCACCCCUGAGGGGCCAACGUGUUGAGGUUCAGGGUGGCACUGUGGUGUCACCAGAGAGACACAUUCAGUCAGG